GGAAGUAAAAGCGUAACAAGGUCUCCGUUGGUGAACCAGCGGAGGGAUCAUUACAGGACUCGCAAGACUCCUACAACCCUGUGAACUUAACUAUAAGCACGUUGCUUCGGCGGGUGUCUCGGAGGGGGUUCUCCCUCCCCGAGACGCUAAACCCGCCGGCAGCCUACUAUACUCUGUCUCUUUGCGUUGGCAUCUCGAGUACAAUCAAACAAGUCAAAACUUUCAACAACGGAUCUCUUGGUUCUG
This 246-nucleotide unclassified non-coding RNA is filed under the name plant metagenome. RNAcentral describes it as "partial contains small subunit ribosomal RNA, internal transcribed spacer 1, and 5.8S ribosomal RNA". The stretch from base 1 to 53 matches the Rfam family "Eukaryotic small subunit ribosomal RNA", at positions 1778 to 1831 of the family's 1831-position model. The record is from RNAcentral.